AGCGGCGGACGGCUGAGUAACGCGUGGGAACGUGCCCCAAAGUGAGGGAUAAGCACCAGAAAUGGUGUCUAAUACCGCAUAUGGUCUUCGGAUUAAAGGAUUUAUCCGCUUUGGGAGCGGCCCGCGUUUGAUUAGAUUGUUGGUGAGGUAAUGGCUCACCAAGUCGACGAUCAAUAGCUGGUCUGAGAGGAUGAUCAGCCAGACUGGAACUGAGACACGGUCCAGACUCCUACGGGAGGCAGCAGUAAGGAAUCUUCCACAAUGGGCGAAAGCCUGAUGGAGCAACGCCGCGUGAAGGAUGAAGGCCCUAGGGUCGUAAACUUCUUUUAUAAGUGAAGAAUAUGACGGUAACUUAUGAAUAAGCACCGGCUAACUACGUGCCAGCAGCCGCGGUCAUACGUAGGGUGCAAGCAUUAUCCGGAGUGACUGGGCGUAAAGAGUUGCGUAGGCGGUUAGUAAAGUGAAUAGUGAAACCUGGUGGCUCAACCACUCAGACUAUUAUUCAAACUCACUAACUCGAGAAUGGUAGAGGUAACUGGAAUUUCUUGUGUAGGAGUGAAAUCCGUAGAUAUAAGAAGGAACACCAAUGGCGUAGGCAGGUUACUGGACCAUUUCUGACGCUAAGGCACGAAAGCGUGGGGAGCGAACCGGAUUAGAUACCCGGGUAGUCCACGCCGUAAACUAUGGAUACUAGCUGUAGGGGGUAUCGACCCCUUCUGUAGCGAAGCUAACGCGUUAAGUAUCCCGCCUGUGGAGUACGGUCGCAAGACUAAAACAUAAAGGAAUUGACGGGGAGCCGCACAAGCGGUGGAUCAUGUUCUUUAAUUCGAUGAUAAACG
This 839-nucleotide ribosomal RNA is filed under the name uncultured bacterium. RNAcentral describes it as "bacterial SSU rRNA". It matches the Rfam family "Bacterial small subunit ribosomal RNA", at positions 94 to 963 of the family's 1533-position model. The record is from RNAcentral.